CCUACGGGAGGCAGCAGUGGGGAAUGAUGCGCAAUGGGCGAAAGAGUGACGCAGCGACGCCGCGUGAAUGACGAAGGCCGUCGGGACGGAAAGUUCUUUCGACAGGGAAGAAAAUGCCAAUAAGUAACUGUGUAUGUAUUGACGGUACCUGUAGAAGCAGCCCCGGCUAACUCCGUGCCAGCAGCCGCGGUAAGACGGAGGGGGCGAGCGUUGUUCGGAGUGACUGGGCGUAAAGAGCACGUAGGCGGUGGUGUAAGUCAUUAGUCAAAGACUAGAGCUCAACUUUAGUACGGCGAGUGAUACUUUAAUACUAGAGUAUCGGAGAGGGUUGCGGAAUUCCUGGUGUAGCGGUGAACUGCGUAGAUAUCAGGAGGAAUACCGUUCGCGAAGGCGGCAGUCUGGCUGGAAACUGACGCUGAGGUGCGAAAGCGUGGGUAGCAAACAGGAUUAGAUACCCCGGUAGUC
RNAcentral lists this ribosomal RNA (465 nucleotides) under uncultured bacterium. RNAcentral's name for it is "partial 16S ribosomal RNA". It matches the Rfam family "Bacterial small subunit ribosomal RNA", at positions 338 to 795 of the family's 1533-position model. The record is from RNAcentral.